This 16-nucleotide transfer RNA is filed under the name Rangifer tarandus caribou. RNAcentral describes it as "partial tRNA-Thr". Lineage: Eukaryota; Metazoa; Chordata; Mammalia; Artiodactyla; Cervidae. RNAcentral also lists the same sequence under 1 other name. The record is from RNAcentral.
UCACUCUCCCUAAGAC